UGGGGAAUAUUGCACAAUGGACGGAAGUCUGAUGCAGCAACGCCGCGUGCGGGAUGACGGCCUUCGGGUUGUAAACCGCUUUUUCUUAUGACGAAGUUUUUUGACGGUAGUGGGGGAAGAAGCACCGGCUAACUACGUGCCAGCAGCCGCGGUGAUACGUAGGGUGCGAGCGUUGUCCGGCAUUAUUGGGCGUAAAGAGCUUGUAGGCGGUUUGUCGCGUCGAUAGUGCAAACUCAGUGCUUAACGCUGAGCCUGCUGUUGAUACGGGCAGACUAGAGGAAGGUAGGGGAGAAUGUAAUUCCCGGUGGGGCUGUGGAAUGCGCAGAUAUCGGGAGGAACACCGGUGGCGAAGGCGGUUCUCUGGGCCUUUCCUGACGCUGAGAAGCGAAAGCGUGGGGAGCGAACAGG
RNAcentral lists this ribosomal RNA (408 nucleotides) under Fusobacteriota bacterium. Its description in RNAcentral is "Fusobacteria bacterium partial 16S ribosomal RNA". It matches the Rfam family "Bacterial small subunit ribosomal RNA", at positions 355 to 776 of the family's 1533-position model. Lineage: Bacteria; Fusobacteriati; Fusobacteriota. The record is from RNAcentral.